AGCCGGAAUAAUUCCUCAGGUGCUGGUUGCUGAGGCAACUGGAGGGAACUAAUGAUCCCCACCUGCCUAGCCAGCUGAAGGAAGGGGCAGGGCCUGGCUCCUAUAUAAAUCACAGGCAGGAGGCCAGGAGGCAGUUCCCUACCGGCAGCCAAGGAAGAAAAAGCUCUCAGUCAUGAAAGAAAGGAGAAGCCAGAGGCAGGAGCAACGUCUGACACUGCUGAGGGAUGAAGAAACCCCGUGUUUCAGAGCCGGAAUGGUUGCAGAGGACUUCUACCAAAAAAGUGUUACACCAUGACACAGCAACUAUCACACAUGUCCAUACAGCUGGAGUUGGUUUGAUUCCAUCCUGAGUCCUCAUGAUUACAUCAACAGAAGGCUUUCUUCAUUAAAGUACUCUUAUAGCACCCAGGAAUGAAUUAAAGCUUCUAUGAGGUCUGUUCUCUACAA
This is a long non-coding RNA of Alligator mississippiensis (American alligator), 447 nucleotides long. RefSeq lists it as uncharacterized. The transcript has 2 exons. NCBI's taxonomy places the organism in Eukaryota, Metazoa, Chordata, Crocodylia, Alligatoridae. The record is from RefSeq and is a predicted model, not a curated record.